CGACCGGCAAACGGGUGCGGAACACGUACACAACCUUCCUUUAAGUGGGGGAUAGCCCAGAGAAAUUUGGAUUAAUACCCCGUAAGAUAGUUUAGUGGCAUCACUAGGUUAUUAAAGCUCCGGCGCUUGAAGAUGGGUGUGCGUCUGAUUAGGUAGUUGGUGUGGGUAACGGCCCACCAAGCCUACGAUCAGUAACUGGUGUGAGAGCACGACCAGUCACACGGGCACUGAGACACGGGCCCG
Molecule: ribosomal RNA, 243 nt
Filed under: uncultured bacterium
Lineage: Bacteria
Description: partial 16S ribosomal RNA
Rfam family: Bacterial small subunit ribosomal RNA
Source: RNAcentral